GACGGAGGCUGCAAGCGUUAUCCGGAAUCACUGGGCGUAAAGCGUCCGUAGGCGGUUUAUUAAGUCAACUGUUAAAUAUUGGAGCUCAACUUCAGAAUGGCAGUUGAAACUGCUAGUCUAGAGUGAAGUUGGUGUAGACGGAAUUUCCAGUGUAGCGGUGAAAUGCGUAGAGAUUGGAUAGAACGCCGAUGGCGAAGGCAGGUUACAGAGCAAUUACUGACACUGAGGGACGAAAGCUUGGGGAGCGAAUGGG
Molecule: ribosomal RNA, 253 nt
Filed under: uncultured bacterium
Lineage: Bacteria
Description: partial 16S ribosomal RNA
Rfam family: Bacterial small subunit ribosomal RNA
Source: RNAcentral